RNAcentral lists this ribosomal RNA (536 nucleotides) under Acalles tibialis. RNAcentral's name for it is "partial 16S ribosomal RNA". It matches the Rfam family "Bacterial large subunit ribosomal RNA", at positions 1819 to 2625 of the family's 2925-position model. Lineage: Eukaryota; Metazoa; Arthropoda; Insecta; Coleoptera; Curculionidae. The record is from RNAcentral.
GGCCUUUUGAGUAUAAUUUAAGGUCGGGCCUGCCCAAUGAUUAAAUUAAAUGGCCGCGGUAUAUUGACCGUGCAAAGGUAGCAUAAUCAUUAGUUUUUUAAUUGAAAGCUGGCAUGAAGGGUUUAAUGAGAAAAAUACUGUCUCUAUUUAAAUUUAUUAGAAUUUUAUAUUUAAGUAAAAAAGCUUAAAUUUUUAUUGAAGACGAGAAGACCCUAUAGAGUUUAAUAUUUUCUUUAAUAAUUAUUUUAUUUAGAAUUGUAAAAAUUAUUAUUUAAAGUAUUUGGUUGGGGUGAUUAGAAAAUUGGUUUAACUUUUUUUGUAUUUUUACAUUGAUUAAUGAAUUUAUGAUCCUUUAAUUAAGAUUAUAAGAUAAAAUUACCUUAGGGAUAACAGCGUAAUUUUUUUUAGAGUUCUUAUCAAAAGAAAAGAUUGCGACCUCGAUGUUGGAUUAAAAUGAAUUAUUGGUGUAGAAGCUAAUAAAUUAGGUCUGUUCGACCUUUAAAUUUUUACAUGAUCUGAGUUUAAACCGGCGUAAG